This is a long non-coding RNA of Vombatus ursinus (common wombat), 217 nucleotides long. RefSeq lists it as uncharacterized. NCBI's taxonomy places the organism in Eukaryota, Metazoa, Chordata, Mammalia, Diprotodontia, Vombatidae. The transcript is spliced from 3 exons. The record is from RefSeq and is a predicted model, not a curated record.
CCUGCAUCAAUGAAUCACAAGUCCUGUAUUCCAUGUGCAUUUAUGUCAUAAGCAAAGAGUAAUCUUUAACAUGUUCCUUCGGGAAGUGUCGUUUGUGCCCGUGUGAAUCAACAGAAGAAGGGGCUGUCUAUCAAUGCUUGGACUUCACUCCCUCCUCACCUCCACCUCUUAGAAUUGCUUGUUUUUCUCAAGAUUGAGAUCAAGCAAUAUCUACAAC